GUAUAGAGGGUGAAUUCUGCCCAAUGGUUGUAUAGUGAAACUGAGGACUAACAUCUAAAGCGAAACCCAACUGAAUGGCCGCGGUAACUCUGACCGUGAUAAUGUAGCACAAUAAAUAGCCAAUUAAUUGUUGGCGGGUAUGAAUGGAACCACGAGGGUCUUACUGUCUCAAGAGGAAAGCCGAUGAAAUUAUAGUUGUAGUGAAGAUACUACAUAAACAUUGUAAGACGAAAAGACCCUAUCGAGCUUUACUGGAUACCGAUAACGUUAACUUAAAAUGAUCGAUACUAAGUAUCCUAAUUUUGAGUUAAUAAUUUUUGUUGGUGGGACAGUUUAGUUGGGGCGACUACCUUUGAAUAAGAAACGAAGGCGAGCUUAUGGUAUACAAAGCUAAUCACAUUAGCCUGACAGUGAGGGGGACACCCCUAGCUGGCACAAGGACGACGUCCUAUGUGGGCGAUAAUGACCCGAUAUGAUUGUCCAAAAUAAAUAUCGAAAGCGAAUAAAAGCUACCGUAGGGAUAACAGCGUAAUAUUGUCGGAGAGUUCUUAUCGAGGACAGUGUUUGCGACCUCGAUGUUGAAUUGCGGUGCCCUGGUGCUGUAGAAGGUACCUUAGGUUGGUC
This 624-nucleotide ribosomal RNA is filed under the name Alcyonium palmatum. RNAcentral describes it as "partial 16S ribosomal RNA". It matches the Rfam family "Bacterial large subunit ribosomal RNA", at positions 1843 to 2577 of the family's 2925-position model. Lineage: Eukaryota; Metazoa; Cnidaria; Anthozoa; Malacalcyonacea; Alcyoniidae. The record is from RNAcentral.